CCUACGGGUGGCAGCAGUCGAGAAUCAUUCACAAUGGGGGAAACCCUGAUGGUGCGACGCCGCGUGGGGGAAUGAAGGUCUUCGGAUUGUAAACCCCUGUCAUGUGGGAGCAAAUUAAAAAGAUAGUACCACAAGAGGAAGAGACGGCUAACUCUGUGCCAGCAGCCGCGGUAAUACAGAGGUCUCAAGCGUUGUUCGGAAUCACUGGGCGUAAAGCGUGCGUAGGCUGUUUCGUAAGUCGUGUGUGAAAGGCGCGGGCUCAACCCGCGGACGGCACAUGAUACUGCGAGACUGGAGUAAGGGAGGGGGAACCGGAAUUCUCGGUGUAGCAGUGAAAUGCGUAGAUAUCGAGAGGAACACUCGUGGCGAAGGCGGGUUCCUGGACAUUAACUGACGCUGAGGCACGAAGGCCAGGGGAGCGAAAGGGAUUAGAUACCCUUGUAGUC
Molecule: ribosomal RNA, 446 nt
Filed under: uncultured bacterium
Lineage: Bacteria
Description: partial 16S ribosomal RNA
Rfam family: Bacterial small subunit ribosomal RNA
Source: RNAcentral